UAUCUAGCUUGCUAGAUAUGAUUAGUGGCGGACGGGUGAGUAACAUUUAGGAAUCUGCCUAGUAGUGGGGGAUAGCUCGGGGAAACUCGAAUUAAUACCGCAUACGACCUACGAGUGAAAGGGGGCGCAAGCUCUUGCUAUUAGAUGAGCCUAAAUCAGAUUAGCUAGUUGGUGGGGUAAAGGCCCACCAAGGCGACGAUCUGUAACUGGUCUGAGAGGAUGAUCAGUCACACCGGAACUGAGACACGGUCCGGACUCCUACGGGAGGCAGCAGUGGGGAAUAUUGGACAAUGGGGGCAACCCUGAUCCAGCCAUGCCGCGUGUGUGAAGAAGGCCUUUUGGUUGUAAAGCACUUUAAGCAGGGAGGAGAGGCUAAUGGUUAAUACCCAUUAGAUUAGACGUUACCUGCAGAAUAAGCACCGGCUAACUCUGUGCCAGCAGCCGCGGUAAUACAGAGGGUGCGAGCGUUAAUCGGAAUUACUGGGCGUAAAGCGAGUGUAGGUGGCUCAUUAAGUCACAUGUGAAAUCCCCGGGCUUAACCUGGGAACUGCAUGUGAUACUGGUGGUGCUAGAAUAUGUGAGAGGGAAGUAGAAUUCCAGGUGUAGCGGUGAAAUGCGUAGAGAUCUGGAGGAAUACCGAUGGCGAAGGCAGCUUCCUGGCAUAAUAUUGACACUGAGAUUCGAAAGCGUGGGUAGCAAACAGGAUUAGAUACCCUGGUAGUCCACGCCGUAAACGAUGUCUACUAGCCGUUGGGGUCCUUGAGACUUUAGUGGCGCAGUU
Molecule: ribosomal RNA, 781 nt
Filed under: uncultured bacterium
Lineage: Bacteria
Description: SSU rRNA
Rfam family: Bacterial small subunit ribosomal RNA
Source: RNAcentral